This 615-nucleotide ribosomal RNA is filed under the name uncultured bacterium. RNAcentral's name for it is "bacterial SSU rRNA". It matches the Rfam family "Bacterial small subunit ribosomal RNA", at positions 67 to 715 of the family's 1533-position model. The record is from RNAcentral.
CGGGGUCGGAACUUCGGUUCCGGCUUACGUGGCGCACGGGUGAGUAACACGUGGGAAUCUGCCCAUCUAUGGGGAAUAACUGCGGGAAACUGCAGCUAAUACCGCAUACGCCCUUCGGGGGAAAGGCUUCGGCCGUAGAUGGAUGAGCCCGCGUCCGAUUAGCUAGUUGGUGGGGUAAAAGCCUACCAAGGCGACGAUCGGUAGCUGGUCUGAGAGGAUGAUCAGCCACACUGGGACUGAGACACGGCCCAGACUCCUACGGGAGGCAGCAGUGGGGAAUAUUGGACAAUGGGCGAAAGCCUGAUCCAGCAAUGCCGCGUGAGUGAUGAAGGUCUUCGGAUUGUAAAGCUCUUUCGACGGGGAAGAUAAUGACGGUACCCGUAGAAGAAGCCCCGGCUAACUUCGUGCCAGCAGCCGCGGUAAUACGAAGGGGGCUAGCGUUGUUCGGAUUUACUGGGCGUAAAGCGUGCGUAGGCGGCUUGUCAAGUCAGAAGUGAAAGCCCGGGGCUCAACUCCGGAACUGCUUUUGAGACUGGCAGGCUUGAGUUCGGGAGAGGGUAGUGGAAUUCCCAGUGUAGAGGUGAAAUUCGUAGAUAUUGGGAAGAACACCGGUGG